Molecule: long non-coding RNA, 213 nt
Filed under: Elaeis guineensis (African oil palm)
Lineage: Eukaryota; Viridiplantae; Streptophyta; Magnoliopsida; Arecales; Arecaceae
Description: long non-coding RNA (EGUI_LNC042749)
Source: RNAcentral
CUAUUUUUCCUCGUAGGAUCUUCCAGAUUUCACCAAAUCUGGGAUGGAAUAAAUUUAAAAUUUUUUUAUCCUAUAUAUAUUUUAAAUCUAAAUUUCUAGAUCUAAUCUUAUUAUCUGAUAUUUUAAAUCUAAAAUUAAAACUAAAACUAUGAUGAAAGAAGAAAUACCUCAAGGGUUAUCUGAUUACCCUGUAGAUGAUCUCUACACAGCCCG